Glossina fuscipes is the source of this 1119-nucleotide long non-coding RNA. RefSeq lists it as uncharacterized. Lineage: Eukaryota; Metazoa; Arthropoda; Insecta; Diptera; Glossinidae. The record is from RefSeq and is a predicted model, not a curated record. The transcript has 4 exons.
UGCAAUUUUAAGACAUAUAGAUUUCUUCUUGUAUAUGUUGUACCUAUUCCAUAUAGUUUUAUACCUAUGUUUGACUUGGGUUUGUGUUAUAAGACUUACAAGUUCUAUGGCUUUGAGUCGUGUCUGACAAGCUUUAUUUGAUUGUACUCAUACAUAUUCUGCGCUUUGGCGGCUGUGUAAAAGCUACAUAUGGUUUUGUGCCUAUGUUCAAGUAGGGCUUGUGUUAUAUGCUGUUACACGUUCUAUGCCUAUGAGCCGUUUCAUACAAGUUUUGUUCAUUCUACCGAUCUUAUACCUAUUUUGCUCGUGCCUGUAUUAUACGUGUUUAUACAUUUUCUCUUUAUAAGGUAUUUAAUUUGUAUUUUAUGACUUAGUGCUUUUGAUGUUGGAGUGUGUGUUCUUAUGAAUUAACUAACGUCGGCCUGGACAGUAUGUGUUUAUACAUUUUCUCUUUACACGGUAUAGGCAUAUUUAGUGUGUGUUUUUAUGAUGUUUUCUCUUUACACGGUAUAGGCAUAUUUAGUGCGUGUUUUUAUGACAUUUGAUGUUGGGGGAGGCCAUUCGUGUAUUGUUCACAGAACGAUGUGCGUGGACAGCUCGGACUUGCUGACUACGGAGUGCGGGUGGACUUUUAAGCGGACGGACUUGUAUUUCAGAAAAAAAUUACACCCAAAUCUCCGCUCAUCGCAUCAUAUACAAGAAGGUUUGCUGUAUGUAAAAGAUUUUAAAAAAACACCUACGUACUAUCGCUUCAGCAGAAUGUGACACUUCCGUAGGCCAAAUGACAUCAACACACCGGCACAGCAGCGAUAUUUAUGUAUUUAUAUGUACUUGUUAUGUAUUAAGUAUGUAUGUUAUGUAUAAGCGGGGCUUAUAUUUAUUUGUUAUUACUGCAAAUAUUAUAAUGGUGUUAAGCUUAUAAUAGUGCAGGCCUACAGGGGAACCAGCCAUUUCAGACAAUUCGAAACGCGCCUAUCACGGUACCUUAAAUGUGGUGUGAAAAACCGUGAGAAGAAUCUUAUGGCAUGUAGAACUAACCAAGGUGAGUGGUAAUGCUUACUUAAUGUUACAUAUUAUAAAUUUAAACAAUUUUUGAUAAAAACUAUUUCAUAACAAUUU